This is a non-coding RNA of Schizosaccharomyces pombe (fission yeast), 743 nucleotides long. The record is from the annotation of a GenBank genome assembly. NCBI's taxonomy places the organism in Eukaryota, Fungi, Ascomycota, Schizosaccharomycetes, Schizosaccharomycetales, Schizosaccharomycetaceae.
GAAGGUUGUGCUGGUUGAGCGGGUUUAACAUUCUGUACAGGUUGUACUGGCGAACUUGGCUGAUAAUACUGCGUUGAUUGAACUGGCUGCAUAGGUGGAGCUGGUACGCCAUUCUGAACGGGCUGCACCGGUGAGCUGGGUUGGUAGUAUUGAGUUGAUUGUACUGGCUGUAUAGGUUGAACCGGUUGAAAAUGUUGGGUAGAUUGCCCUGAUUGAUAGGACUGUACAGGUUGCGACUGCUGAUUGUACUGUCCAGGUUGGGCAGGUUGGUUGUUAUUCUGCCCAGACCUGCUAACUACUCGUGAACCAAUGUUACUAGUAUUAGGCGGAAUAACAGAUAUUCUUUUAGACGAAGGAGUGUAAUGGAUAGUCGACGUCGACCUCAAAGACGCCUGAUUUGACCCCGAGGGAUCAAAAUCUUCAAAGACGUCUUCGUAAACAGAUUCAGAGGAAGACGAUCCUUCCUUGUUCUCAUAAAUAAUGACGUGUUUUUUGCUAACUGGGGGAACUUGAGAUGAAGGACUAUUUUGUCUGUAGCUAGAUGUAUAAGCAGGUGACAUUUUUCUGCUUGGUUUUUUGAGUACCGACUUUUGAGUGGUAUUAUUUCUAACAGUAGAAGAACGUUGAACAUUGUUAUACGAUUCUUCAGCAACUGGAGAUGUGGGAAGGCUAACGGAAGGACUAUAUUCUUCGAUUGGGGGAGGGAUUGCAGUAGGAUAAUAAGGAGUAUUAUAAUUAGCAGG